AUUGAACGCUGGCGGCAUGCUUUACACAUGCAAGUCGAACGGUAACAGGUUAAGCUGACGAGUGGCGAACGGGUGAGUAAUGCAUCGGAACGUGCCCGAUCGUGGGGGAUAACGCAGCGAAAGCUGCGCUAAUACCGCAUACGAUCUGAGGAUGAAAGCGGGGGACCGUAAGGCCUCGCGCGAUCGGAGCGGCCGAUGUCAGAUUAGGUAGUUGGUGGGGUAAAGGCCCACCAAGCCGGCGAUUUGUAGCUGGUCUGAGAGGGCGACCAGCCACACUGGGACUGAGACACGGCCCAGACUCCUACGGGAGGCAGCAGUGGGGAAUUUUGGACAAUGGGCGAAAGCCUGAUCCAGCAAUGCCGCGUGCAGGAAGAAGGCCUUCGGGUUGUAAACUGCUUUUGUACGGAGCGAAAAGGUCCUUUCUAAUACAAGGGGCUCAUGACGGUACCGUAAGAAUAAGCACCGGCUAACUACGUGCCAGCAGCCGCCGUAA
This 493-nucleotide ribosomal RNA is filed under the name uncultured bacterium. Its description in RNAcentral is "partial 16S ribosomal RNA". It matches the Rfam family "Bacterial small subunit ribosomal RNA", at positions 30 to 523 of the family's 1533-position model. The record is from RNAcentral.